This 258-nucleotide ribosomal RNA is filed under the name uncultured bacterium. RNAcentral describes it as "partial 16S ribosomal RNA". It matches the Rfam family "Bacterial small subunit ribosomal RNA", at positions 524 to 776 of the family's 1533-position model. The record is from RNAcentral.
GACAGAGGGUGCAAACGUUGCUCGGAAUUACUGGGGCGUAAAGCGCGUGUAGGCGGACCACCAAGUCGGGACGUGAAAGCCCUGAGCUCAACUCAGGAACUGCAUCCGAAACUGGCGGUCUGGAGUGGGUGGAGAGGAAAGCAGAAUUCCUGGUGUAGGAGGUGAAAUUCGUAGAUAUCAGGAGGAACACCGGUGGCGAAGGCGGCUUUCUGGACACUUACUGACGCUGGAGACGCGAAAGCGUGGGGAGCAAACAGG